CCUACGGGGAGCAGCAGUGGGGAAUAUUGCACAAUGGGGGAAACCCUGAUGCAGCGACGCCGCGUGAGUGAGGAAGUAUUUCAGUAUGUAAAGCUCUAUCAGCAGGGAAGAAAAUGACGGUACCUGACUAAGAAGCCCCGGCUAACUACGUGCCAGCAGCCGCGGUAAUACGUAGGGGGCAAGCGUUAUCCGGAUUUACUGGGUGUAAAGGGAGCGUAGACGGCUAAUCAAGUCAGAAGUGAAAACCCAGGGCUCAACCUUGGGACUGCUUUUGAAACUGAGUAGCUAGAGUGCGGGAGAGGUAGGCGGAAUUCCUGGUGUAGCGGUGAAAUGCGUAGAUAUUAGGAGGAACACCAGUGGCGAAGGCGGCUUACUGGACUGUAACUGACGUUGAGGCUCGAAAGCGUGGGGAGCAAACAGGAUUAGAUACCCCUGUAGUC
RNAcentral lists this ribosomal RNA (440 nucleotides) under uncultured bacterium. Its description in RNAcentral is "partial 16S ribosomal RNA". It matches the Rfam family "Bacterial small subunit ribosomal RNA", at positions 338 to 795 of the family's 1533-position model. The record is from RNAcentral.